UACGGAGGGUGCGAGCGUUGUCCGGAAUCACUGGGCGUAAAGGGCGCGUAGGCGGCAUGCCAAGCGUGUGGUGAAAGCUCGAUGCUCAACAUCGAGUCGGCCACGGAUACUGGGUUGCUCGAGCACUGUAGGGGCAGAUGGAAUUCCGGGUGUAGCGGUGGAAUGCGUAGAGAUCCGGAAGAACACCGGUGGCGAGGGCGGUCUGCUGGGCAGUUGCUGACACUGAGGCGCGACAGCGUGGGGAGCAAACAGG
RNAcentral lists this ribosomal RNA (253 nucleotides) under uncultured bacterium. RNAcentral's name for it is "partial 16S ribosomal RNA". It matches the Rfam family "Bacterial small subunit ribosomal RNA", at positions 524 to 776 of the family's 1533-position model. The record is from RNAcentral.